This 206-nucleotide ribosomal RNA is filed under the name uncultured bacterium. RNAcentral's name for it is "partial 16S ribosomal RNA". It matches the Rfam family "Bacterial small subunit ribosomal RNA", at positions 568 to 774 of the family's 1533-position model. The record is from RNAcentral.
UCCGUAGGCGGGCCUGUAAGUCAGGGGUGAAAGUUUGUGGCUCAACCAUGAAAUUGCCUUUGAUACUGCAGGUCUUGAGUCAUGGUGGGGUUGCCGGAACAUGUGGUGUAGCGGUGAAAUGCAUAGAUAUCACAUAGAACACCGAUCGCGAAGGCAGGUGACCAACCAUGUACUGACGCUGAUGGACGAAAGCGUGGUAGCGAACG